RNAcentral lists this ribosomal RNA (515 nucleotides) under Rhodobacteraceae bacterium (ex Bugula neritina AB1). Its description in RNAcentral is "bacterial LSU rRNA". It matches the Rfam family "Bacterial large subunit ribosomal RNA", at positions 2404 to 2925 of the family's 2925-position model. Lineage: Bacteria; Pseudomonadati; Pseudomonadota; Alphaproteobacteria; Rhodobacterales; Paracoccaceae. The record is from RNAcentral.
AGUCGGCCAUAGUGAUCCGGUGGUCCCGCGUGGAAGGGCCAUCGCUCAACGGAUAAAAGGUACGCCGGGGAUAACAGGCUGAUACUGCCCAAGAGUCCAUAUCGACGGCAGUGUUUGGCACCUCGAUGUCGGCUCAUCUCAUCCUGGGGCUGGAGCAGGUCCCAAGGGUACGGCUGUUCGCCGUUUAAAGAGGUACGUGAGCUGGGUUUAGAACGUCGUGAGACAGUUCGGUCCCUAUCUGCCGUGGGUGUAGGAUACUUGAGAGGAGUUGCCCCUAGUACGAGAGGACCGGGGUGAACGAACCACUGGUGGACCUGUUGUUGCGCCAGCAGCAGUGCAGGGUAGCUAUGUUCGGACAGGAUAACCGCUGAAGGCAUCUAAGCGGGAAGCCCCCCUCAAAACAAGGUAUCCCUGAGGGCCGUGGAAGACCACCACGCCGAUAGGCCGGAGAUGUAAGUGCAGCAAUGCAUUCAGUUGACCGGUACUAAUCGCCCGAUAGGCUUGAUUUGAUCCAG